RNAcentral lists this ribosomal RNA (425 nucleotides) under uncultured bacterium. RNAcentral describes it as "partial 16S ribosomal RNA". It matches the Rfam family "Bacterial small subunit ribosomal RNA", at positions 354 to 796 of the family's 1533-position model. The record is from RNAcentral.
GUGGGGAAUCUUGCGCAAUGGGCGAAAGCCUGACGCAGCCAUGCCGCGUGAAUGAUGAAGGUCUUAGGAUUGUAAAAUUCUUUCACCGGGGACGAUAAUGACGGUACCCGGAGAAGAAGCUCCGGCUAACUUCGUGCCAGCAGCCGCGGUAAUACGAAGGGGGCUAGCGUUGCUCGGAAUUACUGGGCGUAAAGGGCGCGUAGGCGGACAGCUUAGUCAGAGGUGAAAGCCCAGGGCUCAACCUUGGAAUUGCCUUUGAUACUGGCUGUCUUGAGUUUGGGAGAGGUGAGUGGAACUCCGAGUGUAGAGGUGAAAUUCGUAGAUAUUAGGAGGAACACCAGUGGCGAAGGCGGCCUGCUGGACAUUAACUGACGCUGAGGCGCGAAAGCGUGGGGAGCAAACAGGAUUAGAUACCCGGGUAGUCC